AUGGAGAAACCACUGCUGCUCAUCCUCAUUAUGACAACAGAUAUUGUGGCUGAUCAACUCACCCCUGCUAAAUCCGAUGUAAAAAGUCUGGAAGGGAACUCUACGAAGUUGGAGUGUUUAUAUACAACAAGCAGUGAGAAUGUUUUGCUUUACUGGUACAAGCAGUAUCCAAAUGAAGCACCUCAGUAUAUACUAUACAAAGGAGCAAGAUCAUGGAGUGGUGAAAAAAAUAUUCCUGACCCUCAGCAUUAUGAUUCCACAACAUCCAGCACAUCUACUGAGCUCAUCAUUACAGUUCUGUCUGUGGCAGACACAGCUCUCUACUACUGUGCCCUGAGGACCCCAGUGAUACAAACUCACUGAAAAACUGAACAAAAACCUAAACAUAGAUAAUA
Alosa alosa (allis shad) is the source of this 395-nucleotide non-coding RNA. The record is from the annotation of a RefSeq genome assembly. NCBI's taxonomy places the organism in Eukaryota, Metazoa, Chordata, Actinopteri, Clupeiformes, Clupeidae.